CUGCGGAAGGAUCAUUAAAUGAAGCAACCUAGGAGCCUGAGAUAUGGCCACCGGGCACACCUUCCACCCUUUGUUUAUCACACUUUGUUGCUUUGGCAGGCCUGCCUCCGGGCUACCGGCUCCGGCCGGCGAGCGCCUGCCAGAGGACCCAAACUCUGUUUGUCUGUAACGUCUGAGUACUAUAUAAUAGUUAAAACUUUCAACAACGGAUCUCUUGGUUCUGGCAUCGAUGAAGAACGCAGCGAAAUGCGAUAAGUAAUGUGAAUUGCAGAAUUCAGUGAAUCAUCGAAUCUUUGAACGCACAUUGCGCCCCCUGGUAUUCCGGGGGGCAUGCCUGUCCGAGCGUCAUUACAACCCUCAAGCCUAGCUUGGUGUUGGGCUCCGCCGCCUGGCGGGCCCUAAAGUCAGUGGCGGUGCCGUCCGGCUCCGAGCGUAGUAAUUCUUCUCGCUCUGGAGGCCUGGGCGCGUGCUUGCCAGCAACCCCCCAAUUUUAUCAGGUUGACCUCGGAUCAGGUAGGGAUACCCGCUGAACUUAAGCA
RNAcentral lists this ribosomal RNA (539 nucleotides) under Geomyces sp. 17WV15. RNAcentral describes it as "eukaryotic LSU rRNA". The stretch from base 195 to 348 matches the Rfam family "5.8S ribosomal RNA". The record is from RNAcentral. Lineage: Eukaryota; Fungi; Ascomycota; Leotiomycetes; Thelebolales; Pseudeurotiaceae.